RNAcentral lists this transfer RNA (83 nucleotides) under Alligator mississippiensis (American alligator). It matches the Rfam family "tRNA". From Rfam's summary of the family: Transfer RNA (tRNA) molecules are approximately 80 nucleotides in length. Their secondary structure includes four short double-helical elements and three loops (D, anti-codon, and T loops). The record is from Rfam by way of RNAcentral. Lineage: Eukaryota; Metazoa; Chordata; Crocodylia; Alligatoridae.
ACCAGGAUGGCUGAGUAGUUAAGGUCUUGGAUUUAAGAUCCAAUAGACAUAUAUCUGCUUGGGUUCAAGCCCCUUUCCUGGUA